This 839-nucleotide ribosomal RNA is filed under the name bacterium. RNAcentral describes it as "bacterial SSU rRNA". It matches the Rfam family "Bacterial small subunit ribosomal RNA", at positions 25 to 857 of the family's 1533-position model. The record is from RNAcentral.
CAGAUUGAACGCUGGCGGCGUGCCUAACACAUGCAAGUCGAGCGGUAACAGGUGUAGCAAUACAUGCUGACGAGCGGCGGACGGGUGAGUAACGCUUGGGAAUCUGCCUGUUAGUGGGGGACAACCAACCGAAAGGUUGGCUAAUACCGCAUACGCACUACGGUGGAAAGCCGGGGACCGCAAGGCCUGGCGCUAACAGAUGAGCCCAAGUCGGAUUAGCUAGUUGGUAGGGUAACGGCCUACCAAGGCGACGAUCCGUAACUGGUCUGAGAGGACGACCAGUCACACCGGAACUGAGACACGGUCCGGACUCCUACGGGAGGCAGCAGUGGGGAAUAUUGGACAAUGGGGGAAACCCUGAUCCAGCGACGCCGCGUGGGUGAAGAAGGCCUGCGGGUUGUAAAGCCCUUUCGGUUGGGAAGAAAAGUUGCGACCUAACACGUCGCGACCUUGACGUAACCAACUAAAGAAGCACCGGCUAACUCUGUGCCAGCAGCCGCGGUAAUACAGAGGGUGCGAGCGUUAAUCGGAAUUACUGGGCGUAAAGCGCGCGUAGGCGGCUUUUCAAGUCGAUUGUGAAAUCCCCGGGCUUAACCUGGGAACUGCAGUCGAGACUGUCUAGCUAGAGUAUGGGAGAGGGAAGUGGAAUUUCAGGUGUAGCGGUGAAAUGCGUAGAUAUCUGAAGGAACAUCAGUGGCGAAAGCGACUUCCUGGACCAAUACUGACGCUCAUGUGCGAAAGCGUGGGGAGCAAACAGGAUUAGAUACCCUGGUAGUCCACGCCAUAAACGAUGAGAACUGGAUGUCGGAGGGGUCUGCCCUUCGGUGUCGUAGCUAACG